This is a long non-coding RNA of Sceloporus undulatus (fence lizard), 711 nucleotides long. RefSeq lists it as uncharacterized. The transcript has 3 exons. The record is from RefSeq and is a predicted model, not a curated record. NCBI's taxonomy places the organism in Eukaryota, Metazoa, Chordata, Lepidosauria, Squamata, Phrynosomatidae.
AAGAGUUUUAGCAGUCUGACAUAUUAUGUUGCUUCUCUUGUUCUGUACAGUACCAUCAGCAGGCAUGGCACUUUACUGAGAAAAGGAGAACAGGUUCCGAGCAAAAGGUUCUACAUCAAAUAAUUCACCCUGACAACAGAGAAAGAGAUGAAAGAGGAAUGCCUAAACAAAAAAGUCUUCACCUGCUGGGGAGCAACUUCAUCUGCUGUGGAAGAGAUUUCUACAACCUAGGAGCAAAGAUGUCCUCACUAAAUGCACCUGCAAAGAUGCUGGGAAGCCUGUCUCCAUCAUUCUUAUAACAUGCCUGCAGAGCAUUCAACAGGAGGGACAGUGCUUGCUUCAUGGUAGAACAAUUUCACGAUGAGACCAUCAAACUACAGGAAAAUAUGUAUUCUCUGUAAUCUCAGCAAGGCUACAGGGACUAUCAUUACUUUGGUAAAUUGUCUGGAGGCUGAUGCCAGGCUGAAGGGAGUUGCUCUGUACUGAUAGUGGGUGUUCCAGUAAAAAAGACCAUGGUUGGAAAGGGAUAGGGACAUGAAAAAGUAAAGAUUGUCUUACCUGUGAUACAUUCAUUUCCAGCAGUGAAGGACAAAUAUCCUUGUGUGGGUUGCUCUUCCCACUCAUUCCAAUAAUAGAAAUAGCUCAUAACUUUUUGAGAGUGCCCACUAGGAGGAGCAACCCUCAGUAAGGUCAGUUGAUGCUACUGCUUCU